AAUGAACGCUGGCGGCAGGCCUAACACAUGCAAGUCGAACGGAUCCUUCGGGAUUAGUGGCGGACGGGUGAGUAACGCGUGGGAACAUACGCUUUGGUACGGAAUAGCCUCGGGAAACGGGGGGUAAUACCGUAUGUGGUCGAGAGACGAAAGAUUUAUCGCCAAAGGAUUGGCCCGCGUUGGAUUAGGUAGUUGGUGGGGUAAUGGCCUACCAAGCCGACGAUCCAUAGCUGGUUUGAGAGGAUGAUCAGCCACACUGGGACUGAGACACGGCCCAGACUCCUACGGGAGGCAGCAGUGGGGAAUCUUAGACAAUGGGGGAAACCCUGAUCUAGCCGUGCCGCGUGAUCGAUGAAGGCCUUAGGGUUGUAAAGAUCUUUCAGGUGGGAAGAUAAUGACUGUACCACCAGAAGAAGCCCCGGCUAACUCCGUGCCAGCCGCCGCCGUAA
RNAcentral lists this ribosomal RNA (449 nucleotides) under uncultured bacterium. RNAcentral describes it as "partial 16S ribosomal RNA". It matches the Rfam family "Bacterial small subunit ribosomal RNA", at positions 29 to 523 of the family's 1533-position model. The record is from RNAcentral.